Pungitius pungitius (ninespine stickleback) is the source of this 1468-nucleotide long non-coding RNA. RefSeq lists it as uncharacterized. NCBI's taxonomy places the organism in Eukaryota, Metazoa, Chordata, Actinopteri, Perciformes, Gasterosteidae. The transcript has 3 exons. The record is from RefSeq and is a predicted model, not a curated record.
UUAACGAAAUAAAACCCAGGUGAAAUAAAACCAUGAUUAAAACAAAUAAACAUGGCGCCCCCGCCAUAUGUACGGUAUGUUAUAUGUGUUUGGUGGGGGCGCGACGGUCACGCGCAGCGGAGCUUAUGGUUGCGUGCGUUGCAAGGCAAUGGUCACACUCGGAUCAAGCUAACGUAACAUCAGUGCAAACUCUGGUGCAAAGGAACGAAGAAAAGCAGCAGGAGGAGAAGAAAGCCCUGUAAAGAGCUGCAGGUGAAGAGACAUGUAGGACCACAGCUAGCACAGCAGCCGGUGAAACAGAGCAUGCAGCAGGUGAAGGAGCAACAGACACAACUCGCCCUGAUUCUGCACUACAGCCUGCAGUCACUUUCUCCCCCACAACAAGUUCUGAUGUCCAUGAGUCCAUCAGGGAAGAACCGAUUGAUCCUGCUGACUGGCCAACCCUGUCUGGCCAAAGUUACUAAAAAUUAAAAUAUUCUGAGACCAUUAUAUUUGCUUGUAGUACAUUUAUCAAAUAUAAAUGUACAAUAUAAUACAAACAACAUAGUGUACCUAUAAUGUAUAGCAGAAUGAUAACAUGGAAUGGAAGUGGUUCAAAGUGGCCGUAGGUGGGAGGGCGCAAAUCUUUGUAUCGCCUAGUGCAGUGUUUCUCAACUGGUGGGUCGCGGACCCGUUUGUAGUGGGUCGCGGGCCUUUGCAUGGGAAACCUUCCGUCCUGACAAACACAAAACUUUAGGAAAAUUAAUUGCCAGCUAUAUUUAUAAUCAAUUUUUUGUUAGUCAUUUUUUGACAAGCAAAAAUGGCAAACAUUCCAUUUUUUAUAGCUUCUAAAAUGUUGAUGUUUCUGUCAUUUCAGUUAAUUGGGGUUUAUGAAAUUGUGACAGGCAUUAAUCCCAAUUUUAAUGAAAAAAAGAACAGGAUUAGGACAGAAAUUCCGAACGUCUUGCCUGUUUUUACGAGGCGGAUCAAGACUUUUUCUCCAGGGCCCCCAUGAUGUUGACAUUUAUGGUUUGAAGAAGAUGUUUCAACAACUGUCAGAUGGAUUGCCAUGACAUUUCCUACACAGCAUGAAUUUCGAUCACUUUGAUGCUGCAUUAACAUUUUCUCUUCAACAUCACCAGGUCAAUGUUCCACCACUUUGGUUUUGGACAGAACACUUGAAAAUAUGAAAUCAGGCCCAACUGCAUGUGUUGCAAAUAUUAGCAUGUUACCGUAGCAUGCUGAUUUUGACAUUUUGAUAAAAGCACUAUUGUACGAAUUGGGUGGGGUAUAUCCACAUAGUUUAACUAUCUUUUCUGGCCAGAUUAAAGGCUAAGUGGUGCAAUCUCUCAUGUAAAGAAAUUAUAUAACUUUUGACAGAUAUGUGAGAUUCAUCAGGAUAUUUUUGUUUUAUUUGGGGAUAGCCAAAUUGGGGCAGGGUUGUGCUAUUCUGUGUUAAUGUAUGUCCCUCUUGAAUAAACAAGGAUUU